UCAGCAUCGAGAAGAACGCAGCGAAUUGCGAUAAGUAAUGUGAAUUGCAGAAUUCAGUGAAUCAUCGAAUCUUUGAACGCAUCUUGCGCUCUUUGGUAUUCCGAAGAGCAUGCCUGUUUGAGUGUCAU
RNAcentral lists this ribosomal RNA (128 nucleotides) under Cystofilobasidium capitatum. RNAcentral describes it as "partial 5.8S ribosomal RNA". It matches the Rfam family "5.8S ribosomal RNA", at positions 30 to 154 of the family's 154-position model. From Rfam's summary of the family: 5.8S ribosomal RNA (5.8S rRNA) is a component of the large subunit of the eukaryotic ribosome. It is transcribed by RNA polymerase I as part of the 45S precursor that also contains 18S and 28S rRNA. Lineage: Eukaryota; Fungi; Basidiomycota; Tremellomycetes; Cystofilobasidiales; Cystofilobasidiaceae. The record is from RNAcentral.